UGCAAGUCGAGCGGACCGACGGGAGCUUGCUCCCUUAGGUCAGCGGCGGACGGGUGAGUAACACGUGGGUAACCUGCCUGUAAGACUGGGAUAACUCCGGGAAACCGGGGCUAAUACCGGAUGCUUGUUUGAACCGCAUGGUUCAAACAUAAAAGGUGGCUUUUCGCUACCACUUACAGAUGGACCCGCGGCGCAUUAGCUAGUUGGUGGGGUAACGGCUCACCAAGGCGACGAUGCGUAGCCGACCUGAGAGGGUGAUCGGCCACACUGGGACUGAGACACGGCCCAGACUCCUACGGGAGGCAGCAGUAGGGAAUCUUCCGCAAUGGACGAAAGUCUGACGGAGCAACGCCGCGUGAGUGAUGAAGGUUUUCGGAUCGUAAAACUCUGUUGUUAGGGAAGAACAAGUACCGUUCGAACAGGGCGGUACCUUGACGGUACCUAACCAGAAAGCCACGGCUAACUACGUGCCAGCAGCCGCGGUAAUACGUAGGUGGCAAGCGUUGUCCGGAAUUAUUGGGCGUAAAGCGCGCGCAGGCGGUUUUUUAAGUCUGAUGUGAAAGCCCCCGGCUCAACCGGGGAGGGUCAUUGGAAACUGGGGGAACUGAGUGCAUAAGAGGAGAGUAGAAUUCCACGUGUAGCGGUGAAUGGCUUAGAGAUGUGGAUGAACACCAGU
Molecule: ribosomal RNA, 676 nt
Filed under: Bacillus licheniformis
Lineage: Bacteria; Bacillati; Bacillota; Bacilli; Caryophanales; Bacillaceae
Description: bacterial SSU rRNA
Rfam family: Bacterial small subunit ribosomal RNA
Source: RNAcentral